RNAcentral lists this ribosomal RNA (253 nucleotides) under uncultured bacterium. RNAcentral describes it as "partial 16S ribosomal RNA". It matches the Rfam family "Bacterial small subunit ribosomal RNA", at positions 524 to 776 of the family's 1533-position model. The record is from RNAcentral.
UACGGAGGGUGCGAGCGUUGUUCGGAAUCACUGGGCUUAAAGCGCGUGUAGGCGGCUAGUUAAGUGUCAGGUGAAAGCCCUCGGCUCAACCGAGGAACGGCCCGGCAAACUGGCUUGCUUGAGGUACGUAGAGGUGACUGGAACGACGGGUGGAGCGGUGAAAUGCGUAGAUAUCCGUUGGAACGCCGGAGGCGAAAGCGGGUCACUGGGCGUAUCCUGACGCUGAGACGCGAAAGCGUGGGUAGCAAACAGG